RNAcentral lists this ribosomal RNA (449 nucleotides) under uncultured bacterium. RNAcentral describes it as "bacterial SSU rRNA". It matches the Rfam family "Bacterial small subunit ribosomal RNA", at positions 354 to 796 of the family's 1533-position model. The record is from RNAcentral.
GUUUCGAAUCAUUCACAAUGGGCGAAAGCCUGAUGGUGCGACGCCGCGUGAGGGAUGAAGGCCUUCGGGUUGUAAACCUCUGUCACCGGGGAGGAAUUGCUCAGCGCUAAUAGCGCUCGGUUUGACUUAACCCGGAGAGGAAGCAGUGGCUAACUCUGUGCCAGCAGCCGCGGUAAUACAGAGACUGCAAGCGUUAUUCGGAUUCACUGGGCGUAAAGGGUGCGCAGGCGGUCACGUAUGUGAGGUGUGAAAGCCCGGGGCUCAACUCCGGAAUGGCUCCUCAAACUACGGGACUAGAGCAUUGGAGGGAGUAGCAGAAUUCACGGUGUAGCAGUGAAAUGCGUAGAUAUCGUGAGGAAUACCAGAGGCGAAGGCGGCUACUUGGACAAUUGCUGACGCUCAGGCACGAAAGCGUGGGGAGCAAAAGGGAUUAGAAACCCUAGUAGUCC